AACCAAAUUAUAUAACACUACAUUUUGAGUUUAUCCCCUCCUUCCUUUAAAACAGCUGUAAAAGUAACACCUCGUUUCCCUUGUUCAGUCUCCGCCCUCUCCGUCACUCGCCACAAUCCUCCUGAUCUCUUCUGUCUCUCAUUGAAGACUGAGCUGAUCUACUCUCCUGAGUCUCUCUACUCUCAAUGGUCAGCCGAGAGUCACGACCCUCAAUCCCUCAUCAGUUCCCUCUGAUUUUGGUUUCUAAAUCGACGCUCAACGUUCAGGCUUCUCUCCACUUCACAAUCAUUAAGUAGUGGUUAGCCAUUUCUCUACUUCUGCGAUUUAUAGGAUUCACAGGCUACCUCCCACAAUUGCUAUUUAUUUCUUAUUUAGAAGAUGUUAAGUCUGAUUUAGACUUGCUGAGGAGCGAAAUUUCUAAAUUACGCUGCAUAUGUGUUGAAUCUAUUUUAUUUGCUUAUGGAAAUUGGAAAGGUUCUUAGAGAGGGGAUCAAGGAUACAACGAAGAAGUUGCGUUGGCCGACUGUGGAUGAGUUAAAAUGGGAGAAGCUUGCAACAUCCACCGACCCAUUUUGUUGAAGCAUCUUCCACACUUUUUCUUGUCGUUUUCUACUCAAGCUUCCGAAUUUCUAAUUUAUACCUUAAGCGUUGCUUAUUUGCUUUUGGAACCUUCCUACCCUCUUAAAUAAUUAUCUCUCUCGUUAAUUCCCAUACUCGUUCUCCAUCUCAAUAAUUGAGGAAUAGAGGACCUCAAUUUUUUUGUACUUCUUUCCCUAAUUAACUAUGUGGUAGCAGAGUUCCUAUGCCGUCUGGUUUGGUGCUCCUUAUCUCCACUAGGCUAACAAUUACUUAUGCCAAUCGUUUCUAUUUAUAAAAUGAACUUUCUGAAGAA
Hevea brasiliensis (rubber tree) is the source of this 892-nucleotide long non-coding RNA. RefSeq lists it as uncharacterized. The record is from RefSeq and is a predicted model, not a curated record. The transcript has 2 exons. Lineage: Eukaryota; Viridiplantae; Streptophyta; Magnoliopsida; Malpighiales; Euphorbiaceae.